UAGGGAAUCUUCCACAAUGGGCGAAAGCCUGAUGGAGCAACGCCGCGUGUGUGAUGAAGGGUUUCGGCUCGUAAAACNCCGUUGUAAGAGAAGAAUGACAUUGAGAGUAACUGUUCAAUGUGUGACGGUAUCUUACCAGAAAGGAACGGCUAAAUACGUGCCAC
RNAcentral lists this ribosomal RNA (164 nucleotides) under uncultured bacterium. Its description in RNAcentral is "partial 16S rRNA". It matches the Rfam family "Bacterial small subunit ribosomal RNA", at positions 355 to 511 of the family's 1533-position model. The record is from RNAcentral.